Molecule: ribosomal RNA, 329 nt
Filed under: uncultured eukaryote
Lineage: Eukaryota
Description: partial 18S ribosomal RNA
Rfam family: Eukaryotic small subunit ribosomal RNA
Source: RNAcentral
CCCUUAGAUGUUCUGGGCCGCACGCGCGCUACACUGACGAAUGCAACGAGCUUAUAACCUUGGCCGAAAGGUCUGGGUAAUCUCCAAAUUUCGUCGUGAUGGGGAUAGAUUAUUGCAAUUAUUAAUCUUCAACGAGGAAUGCCUAGUAAGCGCAAGUCAUAAGCUUGCGCUGACUACGUCCCUGCCCUUUGUACACACCGCCCGUCGCUACUACCGAUUGAAUGAUUUAGUGAGGACUUCGGACUGGGACCGAUGCGGCUUUCGGGCUGCGUCGGUAUUCUGGAAAGAUGUCCAAACUGUAUCAUUUAGAGGAAGUAAAANUCGUAACA